UACUCACAGCUGGUGACUGGAAUUUCUCCCU
Molecule: non-coding RNA, 31 nt
Filed under: Mus musculus (house mouse)
Lineage: Eukaryota; Metazoa; Chordata; Mammalia; Rodentia; Muridae
Source: RNAcentral